Molecule: ribosomal RNA, 263 nt
Filed under: uncultured bacterium
Lineage: Bacteria
Description: partial 16S ribosomal RNA
Rfam family: Bacterial small subunit ribosomal RNA
Source: RNAcentral
UCUUAGUGGCGGACGGUGAGUAACGCGUGGGGAACCUGCCCUGUACAGGGGGAUAACACUUAGAAAUAGGUGCUAAUACCGCAUAAGCGCACAGUAUCGCAUGAUACAGUGUGAAAAACUCCGGUGGUACAGGAUGGACCCGCGUCUGAUUAGCUGGUUGGCGGGGUAACGGCCCACCAAGGCGACGAUCAGUAGCCGGCCUGAGAGGGUGAACGGCCACAUUGGGACUGGGACACGGCCCAAACUCCUACGGAAGGCAGCAG